This 1347-nucleotide long non-coding RNA is filed under the name Homo sapiens (human). Its description in RNAcentral is "HSALNT0358378". The record is from RNAcentral. Lineage: Eukaryota; Metazoa; Chordata; Mammalia; Primates; Hominidae.
GUCCUUCCUCCCACACAAGGAAACCCAUGAAAGGCCAGACAGAAUGGUGCCAGAUAAGGCCAUGGAAUUUGGAAUUUGGUGGGAUCUAGAAUUUCCCUUAUGGGGAAGGCUGGUCCCAGCUGUCCACCCAUGGUGAGUAUCCAAAGGGAGGCUGUGCCAGGCUCCAGGGAUGUGGGGGGAGGCCCACAUACCCAGGGCCGGAGGCCUGAUGAGGUGGGGAGGGCAGAGAGAAGGUGGCUGGUUGUCUUUGGAAUGUCCCUCCCCAGAGAGGCAGGCUAGGUCCACAGGUCACUUGGUGGACAGGACAUUGAAAGCAAUUUUGACCUUGGCCACUGGCCUGCUCUGCUCAGUCUGAUGUCCACGUUUGUGGUAUAGCCAGGAGGGCUAGAGGCUAGGGACUGCCUGUCUUCAACCUGCUUGGCCUUGGCUUCUCUGUGUGUUCAGGGGUCAGCAGCUUCCCUCGCUGAGCCAUGGAGUGGAGAUUCAUUAAUAUGGAACAUGAUAUUAAUAUGGCAUGUUAUUAAUAUUAGCGAAUUCAUUUGGAACCACUCUUGCAUUCCUGCAAUAAAUCAGAUCUGGUCAUGAUGUUAAAAAGAGAGAAUGGAAUUGGAUGCUGCUGAUCAGAGCUACCAUCACUAAAUACUUUCUCCAUCCUCUCCAAGUAUUAUCUGAUUCCAUCCUUAAGGCAGCUCUGGGAAGCAGGCUUCAUGAUUCCCACUUCACUGAUGAGGAAACCGGGACUAACAAGAGUGAAGUUGCCUGGCAAACAUCAUGCAGCCAGCAAAUGAAGGAGACAGGAUGGGAUCUUGGGUCUCAGUGAUUCCAAAGACCCUAAUGAUACAUGGGUGGUGUUAUCUGGCUGUUAUUCAGUUAUUAAAAAUGCUUAUGGGCUGGGCGAGGUGGCUCAUGCCCGUAAUCCCAGCACUUUGGGAGGCCGAGGCAAGCGGAUCACUUGAGGUCAGGAGUUUGAGACCAGCCUGGCCAACUUGGUGAAACCCCAUCUCUACUAAAAAUACAAAAAUUAGCCGAGUGUGGUGGCGGGCGCCUGUAAUCCCAGCUACUUGAGAGGCUGAGGCAUGAGAAUCACUUGAACCUGGGAGGCAGAGAUUGCAGUGAGCCGAGAUGGUGCCACUGCACUCCAGCCUGGGUGAUAGAGCAAGACUCAGUCUCAAAAAUAAAAAAUAAAAUAAAUAAAAAUAAAUAAAAACGCUUAUGAUCUGAUAAGAUUUUGGAAAGAUAAUAUCUCUGUAGGAACUAGGGGGUGGGGAGGAGGAGACUCUAUUUGUCCUAGAAGCUUGAGUGGUCCUCCUCAACCCACCACAGGCUCAGCAGAGGAGCCGUGUGAGG